Molecule: ribosomal RNA, 465 nt
Filed under: uncultured bacterium
Lineage: Bacteria
Description: partial 16S ribosomal RNA
Rfam family: Bacterial small subunit ribosomal RNA
Source: RNAcentral
CUACGGGUCGCAGCAGUGAGGAAUUUUGCGCAAUGGGGGAAACCCUGACGCAGCAACGCCGCGUGAGUGAUGAAGGCCUUCGGGUCGUAAAGCUCUGUCAAGUGGGAAGAACCCACCCUGUGCUAAUAUCACAGGGUGCUGACGGUACCACUGAAGGAAGCACCGGCUAACUCCGUGCCAGCAGCCGCGGUAAUACGGAGGGUGCAGGCGUUAUUCGGAAUUACUGGGCGUAAAGGGCGCGUAGGCGGCCUGUUAAGUCAGAUGUGAAAUCCCGGGGCUCAACCCCGGAAGUGCAUCUGAAACUAAGAGGCUUGAGUAUGGGAGAGGGAAGUGGAAUUCCUGGUGUAGAGGUGAAAUUCGUAGAUAUCAGGAGGAACACCGGUGGCGAAGGCGACUUCCUGGACCAAUACUGACGCUGAGGCGCGAAGGCGUGGGGAGCAAACAGGAUUAGAUACCCCGGUAGUC